This is a long non-coding RNA of Hordeum vulgare subsp. vulgare (domesticated barley), 2551 nucleotides long. RefSeq lists it as uncharacterized. The record is from RefSeq and is a predicted model, not a curated record. Lineage: Eukaryota; Viridiplantae; Streptophyta; Magnoliopsida; Poales; Poaceae. The transcript is spliced from 2 exons.
UUCGUGUAUCCCGUAGAUGCAUGUCUAUCUUGAUGUAGCAAGCUGUGUGAAGCGGCAAGUCACUUGAGGGCUGGAUCGUGUCUGUAGAUGCAAGCUUAUUUGUUAGCUUUUUAAUCUUGAUGCAGCAUGCUGUGUGAAGCGGCAAGGCACUUGACGGCUGGAUCGUCAGUGUGUGUAGCUGUUGUAUUUUACAGUCCUACCAAAUCGAUCGGUCAUGUUACGCUCUCCCAAUCUUCUUCCUUGCCACACGCCCAUAUUUUUCCUGUGACAUAUUCGUUUUUUAACAGCUAAUCUGUUUCUUUGCAUCUCCCCUUCAUGUAUAUAGCGUACUCAUGCCCUAUGAACUCAUCGCUCUGACCACAAUAAGUAUAGCUCGAUUCACCAGCGAAGCAAGAUGUGGUGAGGUACAGAAAUGAGUUGCAGAUUUCUAUGCACAAGAGCAAGGUCAAGCUCCAGGUUCGGUCGUGGAACAUCUGAAUGAGAUUUCUGUUCAUCUGUCCAAAUAUACUUCAAUGAUUCCAUGAGUGUUGAUUCAGAGUGCUGUUAACGAUGGAGCAUUUGGAAUUUAUUCCUAUUCACACGUAGGUGUCUUGACCCUAAUGUAUAUUUAAUCUGCUCUUCUGUCAACGUACACGUACGUUUGAAGGUUUGGUGCUAGCAAAAUUCAAAUAAUUUACCUCUUUUGUUAUUAACCAGUAUGAUAGAUUUUAUAACAUUUUAUAACCGAAAUUGUUGAUUUUCUUUUUUGCAUGAAACUUUGAAAACAAUAUGACCAAAUCUCCUUAAUACAGUUAACCAUGGGAGGAGUUCACUGAUAGUAGAUGGCAGACAUAAUAUUUUAAUUUCAUACAUCACAGCUGCAGGAUAACAUGCUAAAAUGCUAAGGAGGAUGAGUAAGAGUACAUGGCUUUACAUUACCAAAUGGAUUAUUAUAGAUGUUUUCUGUCAUUUUGUAGACUUGCUCUAAGUUAUGUGGGCUUCUGGCUACAGUUUAUUGUUCACAAAACAUGAAAAAACAAAAUCGAGGAGGGUAUUUGCAUAUAGCAGUAGCUCCAGCAUCUGCAAUACUGUGUGCUUUUCCUUCUUUUAUCUUAAGAUUACUGAAUCAGCCGAUCCUUCAUUGUUGUGUGUGAUGUGUACAAUUGUAGGAUGCUAUUAAAAGAAAUUAUGAUUAAUGUAAGACGUACAUGGUGUUUCAUUCGCAUUUUAUACACUACAUUUGAUAUCUUUUAGACGUACAUGUUGCACUUCUGAGUUUCAAUAUCCGUCGGUCUGUUGUAAAGUGAAUGAACCUAUUUUUAUAUAGAAAUCACAUCCAACUAUAGAAACAUUCUCUUUAGUUUGGUCAACCCCCCAUGCUUAGUUCUACCUCUUAUUGUCUAGACAAGUACUUAUAUUGAUAACAAUCUUAGUGAAAUGAUAGUGCCGAUAAAUCUUUAGAGAACAACUGAACUUAAGAAAAAUGUAUGCUACUUUUGAUCCUACAUACUAAUUAUAGUACUAUGUUUAUGGAGAGUAUAGUGCGAGUUACUCCAUGUAAGAAAAAGUAAUAUGUCUUCUGGGCAUUCAGAAAGAAAUAAAUGUUAUCUAAAUGUGUAAUCUGAUAAUUACAUAACUAGCCCGUGCUGGUGCCCGUGCUGGUGCGCGGGUUGACGACUAGUAAUAUUAAUAGUUAUUAUUAUGUGGUGACCUGGACAUGUGCCCAGAUCCAUAUAUGCAUGUUUGGUACCUGUAUAGAUCUACAAAGGGAACAACAUCUGACACUGCCUGUCCUCCGAUUAAUUAUAAAUAAUAUUACUACAUAUUGUUACUAUCUGGCACAGUAAUUUUUAGAUUUUUCUUCUCAAACACGAAUACAAGUACAUGGCAGUUUGUAUUAGAAUUUCGUCGAUUCGUCAUGCUUCCCUAACUACCAUCAGGGAGUGGAUCAAGAUGAUGCGCUAUACAUGCAUGUUGCUAUGCUAUUUAUGUGGGUGGGAGUUGAUCAUUCAGUAAUCAACAAUGUCGACUCAUGCAUUGUGUUUUUCUGUUACUACUUGUAUUUAUUCCUGGUAUAUGCCUUUCUCGCAAUUGUGUAUCAAGUUGGUAUGCUGAACAUUGACGGAUUCUACGAUCAACUAGUGCAUCAUACUUGUUUUCCUUCAAAGUUUUCCUGAAUAUUAUUAUUUUUGUGUGCAACUUAUCUUAGAGUGGCCAUGUAUGUCAGUAUACUCAAGUAACUGAAUGUAUUCACGUUAACUUUGUUAAGUACUAGUAGAUUCAGAAAUUUAGUUCAUAGAAUUAUUGGUAGGAGCAGUUAACGAGUCAAACAAAAAUAUCCAUAUGCAAAUGUCGGUCUAUGUUUGAUUCAAUUUGGUUUGCUCUGCUACUAAAGCUCCUAUCUGGUCUAAUGUUUUUUGUUUUGUCUCUUUUUCUGUUGCUAGAAAAGUGAUGAGAAGAUGUCGUUCUUGCUAUAUUCCUAUGUAAGGAAAUGUAUUUAUGAGAUGAUUUAUUGUGAUAUGUAAACCUGAGAGAUGUAUUAUGUGAUGUUAUAUGAUGGAUGAUUUUAAUU